UACGUAGGGUGCAAGCGUUGUCCGGAAUUAUUGGGCGUAAAGAGCUCGUAGGCGGUUUGUCGCGUCUGCCGUGAAAGUCCGGGGCUCAACUCCGGAUCUGCGGUGGGUACGGGCAGACUAGAGUGAUGUAGGGGAGACUGGAAUUCCUGGUGUAGCGGUGAAAUGCGCAGAUAUCAGGAGGAACACCAGCGGCGAAGGCGGCGCUCUGGGCCGGAACUGACGCUGAGGAGCGAAAGCGUGGGUAGCAAACAGG
Molecule: ribosomal RNA, 253 nt
Filed under: uncultured bacterium
Lineage: Bacteria
Description: partial 16S ribosomal RNA
Rfam family: Bacterial small subunit ribosomal RNA
Source: RNAcentral